RNAcentral lists this ribosomal RNA (383 nucleotides) under uncultured eukaryote. RNAcentral describes it as "partial 18S ribosomal RNA". It matches the Rfam family "Eukaryotic small subunit ribosomal RNA", at positions 592 to 976 of the family's 1831-position model. The record is from RNAcentral.
CAAUAGCGUAUAUUAAAGUUGUUGCAGUUAAAAAGCUCGUAGUUGGAUUUCUGGUGGGAGCGAUCGGUCUGGCGCUUAGCGCGAGUACUUGCAUCGUCUCCGGCCAUCCUUGGGGAGAGUCUGUCUGGCAUUAGGUUGUCGGGCAGAGGAUCCUCAUCGUUUACUGUGAUAAAAUUAGAGUGUUCAAAGCAGGCUUAUGCCGUUGAAUAUAUUAGCAUGGAAUAAUAAGAUAGGACUUUGGUACUAUUUUGUUGGUUUGCGCACCAAAGUAAUGAUUAAUAGGGACAGUUGGGGGUAUUCGUAUUCCGUUGUCAGAGGUGAAAUUCUUGGAUUUACGGAAGACGAACUACUGCGAAAGCAUUUACCAAGGAUGUUUUCAUUAA